CUAAACUGUAUUAGUAACACAUCAACUUCCACUAGAGGUCAGUAGAGAGCAGAACUCACUCUGUCCAUCUUUACAGGAGAUUCAAGGGAGGAAGUGAUGCUUCAACAGACACACAGAGUGUCCGUCCUGACUGUAACAGUGACACGUACACAGGUCUGAACAUGAGGACCAUGUCCCCUGACUAUGACACUCUGGCAAAUGUCCAUCCUGACCCUAACAGUGACCCCAACAGUGACAUGUACACACCUCUGAACAUGAAGACCAGGUCACCAGAGUAUGACACCCUGGCAAAUAUGAGGGGACCCUCCCACUUAAGAGAACCACUACAGAACCUGGACUGAAGAGAACCACCACAGAACCUGCACUGAGGAGAACCACCACAGAACCUGGACUGAAGGAAAGUACUUCAGAACAUCAACUGAAGAGAACCACCACAGAUCCUUUACUGAAAAGAACCACCACAGAACCUGGACUGAAGAAAAGUACCUCAGAACAUCAACUGAAGAGAACCACCACAGAUCCUAGACUGAAGAGAACCACCACAGAUCCUGGACUGAAGAGAGCCACCACAGAUCCUGGACUGAAGAGAGCCACCACAGAUCCUGGACUGAAGAGAACCACCACAGAUCCUGGACUGAAGAGCUACGGUUCCGAUCCAAAGCCAGGCCUCACUCCUCUAUUCUCUAGCAACCAUAUCUAGGUGGUUUUACAGACCAUGAACUUUAACUUUGAGUAAAUGCUGGAAUAUAUUUUUUAUUUUCUUAUUCUGAUAAUUAUGUAUAUUGAUGAUAAAUGGGAGGGGUUAUGCUUCUGCUUUUUUUCAAUGGGAUUUUCCCAUUUCCAUAUUUUUUCUUGUGUACCAAUCUGUUUCCUAUCUAUAGUUUAAGAUAACAUUCCUGAUAUUUUUCUAAGUGGAUUUUGCCGUAUUGUUAUAACAUCAAUAGUACUACUUGCCUCAGCAACUAAUGUGGAUCAUAUUGAUAACAGCUUUCUAUUAUUUGUUUAGCUUUUGGGCCAAGUUUCUCCUGAUGUGUUUAAUGAUUUACUUUGUAUUGCUGUCAGAUAUUAUUAAUUAUUUUUAUGUUUUAUAUUACGUAAUCCUAUAUUGUUUUCUUUUAUUAAAAAAUAAUAAAUACAUUACAUAUAUUUAAGCAUUUGCAGUUUUUUACAUGUUAUAUUAAUUAUAAUUGUAUAUUAAAAACAUGUGUCUGUGUGUCUGUCUG
Molecule: non-coding RNA, 1223 nt
Organism: Oncorhynchus mykiss (rainbow trout)
Lineage: Eukaryota; Metazoa; Chordata; Actinopteri; Salmoniformes; Salmonidae
Source: RefSeq, a predicted model, not a curated record